UAGGGAAUCUUCCACAAUGGACGCAAGUCUGAUGGAGCAACGCCGCGUGAGUGAAGAAGGUUUUCGGACCGUAAAGCUCUGUUGUUGGUGAAGAAGGAUAGAGGUAGUAACUGGCCUUUAUUUGACGGUAAUCAACCAGAAAGUCGCGGCUAACUACGUGCCAGCAGCCGCGGUAAUACGUAGGUGGCAAGCGUUGUCCGGAUUUAUUGGGCGUAAAGCGAGCGCAGGCGGAAGAAUAAGUCUGAUGUGAAAGCCCUCGGCUUAACCGAGGAAUUGCAUCGGAAACUGUUUUCUUGAGUGCAGAAGAGGAGAGUAGAACUCCAUGUGUAGCGGUGGAAUGCGUAGAUAUAUGGAAGAAUACCAGUGGCGAAGGCGGCUCUCUGGUCUGCAACUGACGCUGAGGCUCGAAAAGCCAUGGGUAGCGAACAGGAUUAGAUAC
RNAcentral lists this ribosomal RNA (439 nucleotides) under uncultured bacterium. RNAcentral describes it as "partial 16S ribosomal RNA". It matches the Rfam family "Bacterial small subunit ribosomal RNA", at positions 355 to 785 of the family's 1533-position model. The record is from RNAcentral.